CCACUCUCACCAAUGUCUCUCAUUCCCAAUUUUUCCCUUUUCUUUUUCUUUUGCAUUUAGCUCUUCUUCAUGCUUUUCUUAAUUUCGUUUCUCUUUUUCUCAUGAAUUUUCUCUUUUCACAAUAGUUGAGCUCAAUGCCUCUCACUUGCGUUUUCAAUUUUCCCCCGUACAACCCCAAAUUUGAACCUUUUCAUCACAUACAAGUUAGCU
This 210-nucleotide long non-coding RNA is filed under the name Vigna radiata. Its description in RNAcentral is "long non-coding RNA (VRAD_LNC008517)". The record is from RNAcentral. Lineage: Eukaryota; Viridiplantae; Streptophyta; Magnoliopsida; Fabales; Fabaceae.